UACGUAGGGUGCGAGCGUUGUCCGGAAUUAUUGGGCGUAAAGGGCUCGUAGGCGGUUUGUCGCGUCGGGAGUGAAAACGCCGUGCUUAACACGGCGCUUGCUUUCGAUACGGGCAGACUAGAGGUAUGCAGGGGAGAACGGAAUUCCUGGUGUAGCGGUGAAAUGCGCAGAUAUCAGGAGGAACACCGGUGGCGAAGGCGGUUCUCUGGGCAUUACCUGACGCUGAGGCGCGAAAGCGUGGGGAGCAAACAGG
This 253-nucleotide ribosomal RNA is filed under the name uncultured bacterium. RNAcentral's name for it is "partial 16S ribosomal RNA". It matches the Rfam family "Bacterial small subunit ribosomal RNA", at positions 524 to 776 of the family's 1533-position model. The record is from RNAcentral.